This 441-nucleotide ribosomal RNA is filed under the name uncultured Aquihabitans sp. RNAcentral's name for it is "bacterial SSU rRNA". It matches the Rfam family "Bacterial small subunit ribosomal RNA", at positions 338 to 795 of the family's 1533-position model. The record is from RNAcentral. Lineage: Bacteria; Bacillati; Actinomycetota; Acidimicrobiia; Acidimicrobiales; Iamiaceae.
CCUACGGGGGGCAGCAGUGGGGAAUCUUGCGCAAUGGGCGAAAGCCUGACGCAGCGACGCCGCGUGCGGGAUGAAGGCCUUCGGGUUGUAAACCGCUUUCAGCAGGGACGAAAUUGACGGUACCUGCAGAAGAAGCUCCGGCCAACUACGUGCCAGCAGCCGCGGUAAGACGUAGGGGGCGAGCGUUGUCCGGAAUUAUUGGGCGUAAAGGGCUCCUAGGUGGUUCAGUAAGUCGACUGUGAAAAUCCAAGGCUCAACCUUGGGACGCCAGUCGAUACUGCUGUGACUCGAGUUCGGUAGAGGAGUGUGGAAUUUCUGGUGUAGCGGUGAAAUGCGCAGAUAUCAGAAGGAACACCAACGGCGAAGGCAGCACUCUGGGCCGAUACUGACACUGAAGAGCGAAAGCGUGGGGAGCAAACAGGAUUAGAUACCCUUGUAGUC